RNAcentral lists this transfer RNA (82 nucleotides) under Pan troglodytes (chimpanzee). RNAcentral's name for it is "tRNA-Ser (TGA) (tRNA-Ser-TGA-2-1)". It matches the Rfam family "tRNA". From Rfam's summary of the family: Transfer RNA (tRNA) molecules are approximately 80 nucleotides in length. Their secondary structure includes four short double-helical elements and three loops (D, anti-codon, and T loops). Lineage: Eukaryota; Metazoa; Chordata; Mammalia; Primates; Hominidae. The record is from Rfam by way of RNAcentral.
GUAGUCGUGGCCGAGUGGUUAAGGCGAUGGACUUGAAAUCCAUUGGGGUUUCUCCGCGCAGGUUCGAAUCCUGCCGACUACG